RNAcentral lists this ribosomal RNA (624 nucleotides) under Udeniomyces sp. PDD-25b-4. Its description in RNAcentral is "eukaryotic LSU rRNA". It matches the Rfam family "Eukaryotic large subunit ribosomal RNA", at positions 47 to 657 of the family's 3401-position model. Lineage: Eukaryota; Fungi; Basidiomycota; Tremellomycetes; Cystofilobasidiales; Mrakiaceae. The record is from RNAcentral.
AAAACGGAGGAAAAAAAACUAACAAGGAUUCCCCUAGUAACGGCGAGUGAAGCGGGAUGAGCUCAAAUUUAAAAUCUGGCAGUCUAAGAUUGUCCGAGUUGUAGUCUAGAGAAGCGUUUUCCGCGUAGGCCUGUGUACAAGUCCCUUGGAAUAGGGCGUCAUAGAGGGUGAGAAUCCCGUCCUUGACACAGAUCAUCUAUGCUCUGCGAUGCGCUCUCGAAGAGUCGAGUUGUUUGGGAAUGCAGCUCAAAAUGGGUGGUAAAUUCCAUCUAAAGCUAAAUAUUGGCGAGAGACCGAUAGCGAACAAGUACCGUGAGGGAAAGAUGAAAAGCACUUUGGAAAGAGAGUUAAACAGUACGUGAAAUUGUUGAAAGGGAAACGAUUGAAGUCAGUCAUGUGGUUUGAGGUUCAGCCGGUUCUGCCGGUGUAUUCCUCAGACUACAGGCCAGCAUCAGUUUCGACCGGUGGAAAAAGUUGGAGGGAACGUGGCAUCCUCGGAUGUGUUAUAGCCCUCUUUCACAUGCAUCGGACGGGACUGAGGAACGCAGCGUGCCUUUAUGGUCGGUCUUCGGACACGAACGCGCUUAGGAUGCUGGCAUAAUGGCUUUAAACGACCCGUCUUGA